GACGAACGCUGGCGGCGUGCUUAACACAUGCAAGUCGAACGGAAAGGCCCUGCUUUUGUGGGGUGCUCGAGUGGCGAACGGGUGAGUAACACGUGAGUAACCUGCCCUUGACUUUGGGAUAACUUCAGGAAACUGGGGCUAAUACCGGAUAGGAGCUCCUGCUGCAUGGUGGGGGUUGGAAAGUUUCGGCGGUUGGGGAUGGACUCGCGGCUUAUCAGCUUGUUGGUGGGGUAGUGGCUUACCAAGGCUUUGACGGGUAGCCGGCCUGAGAGGGUGACCGGCCACAUUGGGACUGAGAUACGGCCCAGACUCCUACGGGAGGCAGAAGUGGGGAAUAUUGCACAAUGGGCGGAAGCCUGAUGCAGCAACGCCCCGUGCGGGAUGACGGCCUUCGGGUUGUAAACCGCUUUCGCCUGUGACGAAGCGUGAUUGACGGUAAUGGGUAAAGAAGCACCGGCUAACUACGUG
RNAcentral lists this ribosomal RNA (468 nucleotides) under uncultured bacterium. RNAcentral's name for it is "partial 16S ribosomal RNA". It matches the Rfam family "Bacterial small subunit ribosomal RNA", at positions 28 to 507 of the family's 1533-position model. The record is from RNAcentral.